This 228-nucleotide ribosomal RNA is filed under the name uncultured bacterium. Its description in RNAcentral is "partial 16S ribosomal RNA". It matches the Rfam family "Bacterial small subunit ribosomal RNA", at positions 524 to 751 of the family's 1533-position model. The record is from RNAcentral.
UACGUAGGGUGCAAGCGUUAAUCGGAAUUACUGGGCGUAAAGCGUGCGCAGGCGGUUAUGUAAGACAGAUGUGAAAUGCCCGGGCUUAACCUGGGAACUGCAUUUGUGACUGCAUGGCUAGAGUGUGUCAGAGGGGGGUAGAAUUCCACGUGUAGCAGUGAAAUGCGUAGAUAUGUGGAGGAAUACCGAUGGCGAAGGCAGCCCCCUGGGAUAACACUGACGCUCAUG